This 473-nucleotide ribosomal RNA is filed under the name Clostridioides difficile. RNAcentral describes it as "partial 23S ribosomal RNA". It matches the Rfam family "Bacterial large subunit ribosomal RNA", at positions 2450 to 2925 of the family's 2925-position model. The record is from RNAcentral. Lineage: Bacteria; Bacillati; Bacillota; Clostridia; Peptostreptococcales; Peptostreptococcaceae.
CAACGGAUAAAAGCUACCCUGGGGAUAACAGGCUUAUCUCCCCCAAGAGUCCACAUCGACGGGGAGGUUUGGCACCUCGAUGUCGGCUCAUCACAUCCUGGGGCUGUAGUAGGUCCCAAGGGUUGGGCUGUUCGCCCAUUAAAGUGGUACGCGAGCUGGGUUCAGAACGUCGUGAGACAGUUCGGUCCCUAUCCGUCGCAGGCGUAGGAAAUUUGAGAAGACCUGUCCUUAGUACGAGAGGACCGGGAUGGACGUACCUCUGGUGUACCAGUUGUCCUGCCAAGGGCAUGGCUGGGUAGCUAUGUACGGAAUGGAUAAGCGCUGAAAGCAUCUAAGCGCGAAGCCAACUUCAAGAUAAGAUUUCCCACCGCAAGGGUAAGACCCCAGAAAGACUAUCUGGUUGAUAGGUCGAAGGUGUAAGUGCAGCAAUGUAUUUAGCUUAUCGAUACUAAUAGGUCGAGGACUUGACCAAU